GACGAACGCUGGCGGCGUGCUUAACACAUGCAAGUCGAGCGGUAAGGCCCUUUCGGGGUACGACGAGCGGCGAACGGGUGAGUAACACGUGGGUGACCUGCCCUUACGCUCUGGGAGUAAGCCUGGGAAACUGGGUCUAAUACCGGAUAUGACUCCAUGACGCAUGUUGUGGGGUGGAAAGCCUUGUGCGGCUAGGGAUGGGCCCGCGGCCUAUCAGCUUGUUGGUGGGGUGAUGGCCACCAAGGCGACGACGGGUAGCCGGCCUGAGAGGGCGACCGGCCAC
RNAcentral lists this ribosomal RNA (283 nucleotides) under uncultured bacterium. Its description in RNAcentral is "partial 16S ribosomal RNA". It matches the Rfam family "Bacterial small subunit ribosomal RNA", at positions 28 to 311 of the family's 1533-position model. The record is from RNAcentral.